UGAAUCCCUAGAAUCCCCUUCUUUCUCCUCUUUCUUCUUCCCAGCCCGAUACUCUUUCUGUUCUUCUCUAGCAUUUCAGUCGGCCAGACCAGAUGAGCCAUCUCCGGCCACCACCCAAUGACACGCAACCCACCACGAGCUUCCUUGGCCCCCGAAACCGCCAACCCGGGAAGCUCGCCUCCCCACUCGCCGGCCUCCGUCGCGACUGGCUCCUCAAAGUUCCGUUGCCGCUGUGAGUUUGGAGGAUUUUUCUGGCCUCCACCGUGGACGAUGAAGGCUCCUGCUGGCGAACCCACUUUGCCGGUUCUCUACCCUUCGUCGCUAUCAGUUAAAACUGUUUUGAGGGAUCAGAAGCAGAAGACUUGAAUGGGUGGCCCUAAGCAAUGUCAAGUUUGCAAUGAAGCAGUUUCCAAGUACAAGUGUCCCUCUUGUCUUGUCCCUUAUUGUUCUCUUAUCUGCUUCAAGAAACACAAAGGAUCAAGGAGGAUGAUAAGAUGAUUCAAGCUGAGGGAGUGGAGUCCCUUUCAGAAAAAGAGCUUAUUUCAGCCUGUCAAGAACGAGGCAUACUUGGAACACUUUCAGUAGAGGAAAUGCGAGAAGAGGUUUGAGCUUAAUCUAGACUUCUUUAGUUUGUUCAUUGAUUGAAGAUAGACUGAAACAUGUCUAUUAAAUUUAUCACUUAUGGCUCAUGAAUACUAUAUUUUCAUGGUGAUUUCACCUCAUUUGUUACUGUCAGGGAUGUCAAUAAGCCAAUGUAAGCUUUGACUAGCUGCAACUUCUUCUAAACAGCCCAUAGUUAUAUCAUCAGCUUACGUUUGUUUGAUGUUUGAAGUAUACUAUAAAGAACAAUAUACAUCAUAUCUUAUUAUAUAAUGCUGAUAUGGAUCUAUUUUAGUUUUAUCUUUUUUGAAACUCUAACUUCAUGUAAAAGAUCAAUAGCUAAUAAAUUCUAAACAGGCUUUUUUGGAAGCUUUUAUGAUUUAUGUUUUACCAUUUUGCAUUUGGCUAUGUUUUGCCAUUCUACUUGUUAGAAAACUUGAUUUGAGAUAUGGUAGGGCACUUGUUGGACAUGUGAUUGAAAUAUGGAACAUUAGUUAUAUUUAUCAUCACUCUAGCUACAACAUAUAUAACAUAUAGAUUGUUGGUUGUGAUUCUUCUACAUGCACAUAAAUAUUAUAAAGAUUGUAGGUAUAAAUAUAUGUGUGUAUAUAUAUAUAUUAGAAUUCUGUCAAAAGUGUAAUCCAUCUUUGCAUUUUGAAAAUAGUAUAAACUAAGUUAUGAUGUAGUUUUCUAUGUAAUUUAGGUGGACAAUAGAUUUAUAUCAACUUUCAAUUGGAAAAACAAAAUGUAUAUAAACUUUUUACCAUUCAUACCUUAGUUAUAUUUUAUUUUCUCCUCUUUGCAUUAUUAUUUAAUUAUUUAAUUCUGAUUUGACUCAAUUUCAUUAUAUAUUAUAACAUUGUAAAUGUGUGUAUAUGCUGAGACAGACUUCAAAGAAACUUUUUUCGCAACAGUUUGCAAGAGGUAUGCCUCUAACUUUUAUUUUAAUACUAUGCAAAUGUUAGAGGAGUUUGAAUAUCUUAAAUAUUCAUCCAUAGUGAAAUAGGUUCUGUGAUUGUUACUGUGUGCUGCGGUGAUAACAGAAGAUUGAGAACUUGUGUGUUUUAGUGAAGUAGGAUCUGAGAAAUUUGUGUGCUGCGGAGAUAAGAAAGAAAACUUGUGUGUUGUUUGAAUUGAUAUUGACAGAUGGUUGGUUGCUAGUAUGGGGAAAAUGUUGUUCGAUUUUAUGUUGAUUUGUCUAUGAUUAUCCUAUAAUUGAAUUGUGUUUGAUUGGUUUGAUUAUAACAUAUACUUGUAUGAAUGUACUUAUUGCGUUUUGGCAUACACAUAUAGCAUAACUUUUUGUACUUCUUGUUUUAGACGAUGUUAGUUUUCUUCUUGCCCUUUGUCUAAUGUCUUUGGUGAGGUGAUUUAUAACAUUGAACAUCACUUUUUGUUCUUGUAAUCACAUUUAGGUUCAAUAGUAUAAAGCGCUAUACAAAAGUUUGACAUUAUUAGCAUAUUGGUUGAUAAUUCAUAGUUAUAUUGGACUCUAAGUUUCAUUCUUUUGGAAUUGCAUUUAUUGAUUUUAUCAGCUUCGGGGUAUAUUUUUGUUUUAGUGUCGGUGCUUAAUUUAUUUAGAUUUAUUAAUUUUAGUGUAUAUUAUGUAUUUAUAUUUUUUGUUGAAUACUUUGCUUCUAAUUUUGUUAUGUUUAUUCAGAUUCAGGGUAUUUAUAUAGAUUGUUCUGUUGGUGGCCUUUGUACCCUGUAUAAAAUUUUAUAUUUGGUAUUUUAUUGCAUAUUUGUGUUGUGUUUACCUUGUUAGUGCUGAAGACUUUGUUUAUUAUCUUGUUAUGUUAAUCAGCUUUAGGGUAUAUUUGUGUUUUGAUGUCGGUGCUUAUUUUUUUUUUAGAUUUGUUGAUUUUAGAAUAUAUUAUGUAUGUAUUUUUUGUUGGAUACUUUGCUUUUAGUUUUGUUAUGUUUAUUCAGAUUUAGAGUAUAUUUGUGUACUAUUGUAAUUAAGUUCUUUUUUGUGAUUUAUUUAUUUUGCAUAUAUAUCUAUAUAUAAAUAUGUUUUUGUUGGAAAUUUCUUUUAGGUAUUAUUAUGGUUAAUUAUAUUUAUGGUAUUUUUUUUUUUUUUGCCAAUGAUGUUAAAAUAAUGAGGAUGCUUAUUAUGUUGGUGAUUAUAAGACUUAUUGUGCUUUAUAUUUUUUAAAGGCAUACAAAGUGCAUAAAUGCUCAUAAUAAGUCAUUCUUUUUUCUUUCUGAAAUCCUUAUGAUGAUUAAAUUGUGGGUAUUCUAUUAUUAAAUUGGGAAUUUUGUUAUACUGUAAUUCACAACAUCAUUGGUCUCCCAACCGUCUCAAAUCUUGUCGGCAUUCUUACAAGGUCAGUUUUUGUUUAAUAAUCUCUAAGAGAGAUUAAUCAACUAAUUUUACAUAUUUAUAUUGUUGGUUCUCUCAUUCAUUCGUUAAUAUAUUAUGGUAAAAUAUACUAUUUAAUUAUAAUUUGAAGUAUUUAAUUCAUUGGUGCAGGGAAUAUCAUAGGACUAACUUUUAAGGUGGAUGCCUAGAUUUAUUAGGAAGAAUAUUGAGAAAAGAAACAUGAUUGAGUUUGCAGUGAUUUGGAGAAAGAAUUAUGUUGUCUUGUUGAGAUUUGUUGUAUUAUAUAUUUUUAAGUUUAUGGAUUUAUAAUAUUAUAAUGAAUUUUUAUUGAUAAUUAUUUAAUCUCAUGGGGAUUUGAUGUAUUAUUUACAUUUCAAUUGUAUGAAUAAAUAUUGUAUGUAUAUGAAUUUUUAUUCUGAUAAAUAUAAUUUUUUUUACAAGUUA
Molecule: long non-coding RNA, 3367 nt
Organism: Humulus lupulus (European hop)
Lineage: Eukaryota; Viridiplantae; Streptophyta; Magnoliopsida; Rosales; Cannabaceae
Exons: 4
Source: RefSeq, a predicted model, not a curated record